This 488-nucleotide small RNA is filed under the name Pan troglodytes (chimpanzee). RNAcentral describes it as "processed transcript". The record is from RNAcentral. Lineage: Eukaryota; Metazoa; Chordata; Mammalia; Primates; Hominidae.
GAAAACCAUAAGGGUUAAAAUAGUAGAUGAGGAGGAAUACGAAAGGCAAGAGAAUUUCUUCAUUGCCCUUGGUGAACCGAAAUGGAUGGAACGUGGAAUAUCAGGUUAUUCACUUGUGGAGUGGCCCAUAGGCCCCUCUGCCCUUCGAGGAGGAGAGAUAUGCUGCUGGGAGCCUCCUAGCAAAUGAAGCAGUGAAAUCCACCUGUUUGUCAAAAAGGGGUGAUCAUACUGCAAUUAGUUCAUAUUCAUGUGACAAAGAGCAGCAUAAAACUUUCCACGCGAGGACAGAUCUAAGAGAUUCAGCAACAACAUUCCCAAAGGAUCCUCUACAGGCCUUCUCAGUGUGAUUGAUCAGUUCUCAUUGUCUGCUGGGGACUCUCCUGCAGAGCUGACCACUUCUGUGCCUGCACUGGUUUGGACACACCUGAUGCUCUAGGGGCAGAACUCCUCUCCUUCUUCACUGCUGGUUCUCUUCGUUACCACUCAAU